GCGGCCAUGGUCUAGUUUGGUUAGGAUGGAAGCUUCCCAAGCUUCUCGCCCGGGUUCAAAUCCCGGUGGCCGCA
RNAcentral lists this transfer RNA (74 nucleotides) under Candidatus Thorarchaeota archaeon. RNAcentral describes it as "tRNA-Gly". It matches the Rfam family "tRNA". From Rfam's summary of the family: Transfer RNA (tRNA) molecules are approximately 80 nucleotides in length. Their secondary structure includes four short double-helical elements and three loops (D, anti-codon, and T loops). RNAcentral also lists the same sequence under 1 other name. Lineage: Archaea; Promethearchaeati; Candidatus Thorarchaeota. The record is from RNAcentral.